RNAcentral lists this ribosomal RNA (661 nucleotides) under Micrococcus sp. RNAcentral's name for it is "bacterial SSU rRNA". It matches the Rfam family "Bacterial small subunit ribosomal RNA", at positions 829 to 1487 of the family's 1533-position model. Lineage: Bacteria; Bacillati; Actinomycetota; Actinomycetes; Micrococcales; Micrococcaceae. The record is from RNAcentral.
AUUCCACGGUUUCCGCGCCGCAGCUAACGCAUUAAGUGCCCCGCCUGGGGAGUACGGCCGCAAGGCUAAAACUCAAAGGAAUUGACGGGGGCCCGCACAAGCGGCGGAGCAUGCGGAUUAAUUCGAUGCAACGCGAAGAACCUUACCAAGGCUUGACAUGUUCUCGAUCGCCGUGGAGAUACGGUUUCCCCUUUGGGGCGGGUUCACAGGUGGUGCAUGGUUGUCGUCAGCUCGUGUCGUGAGAUGUUGGGUUAAGUCCCGCAACGAGCGCAACCCUCGUUCCAUGUUGCCAGCACGUCAUGGUGGGGACUCAUGGGAGACUGCCGGGGUCAACUCGGAGGAAGGUGAGGACGACGUCAAAUCAUCAUGCCCCUUAUGUCUUGGGCUUCACGCAUGCUACAAUGGCCGGUACAAUGGGUUGCGAUACUGUGAGGUGGAGCUAAUCCCAAAAAGCCGGUCUCAGUUCGGAUUGGGGUCUGCAACUCGACCCCAUGAAGUCGGAGUCGCUAGUAAUCGCAGAUCAGCAACGCUGCGGUGAAUACGUUCCCGGGCCUUGUACACACCGCCCGUCAAGUCACGAAAGUUGGUAACACCCGAAGCCGGUGGCCUAACCCUUGUGGGGGGAGCCGUCGAAGGUGGGACCAGCGAUUGGGACUAAGUC